This 132-nucleotide small RNA is filed under the name Arabidopsis thaliana (thale cress). RNAcentral's name for it is "ATSL287920". The record is from RNAcentral. Lineage: Eukaryota; Viridiplantae; Streptophyta; Magnoliopsida; Brassicales; Brassicaceae.
UAUUUAUAUUUUAUAGUUUACAAUUGUUAUUAAGUAAGAUACCGUCAAACACGUCCCACUCAAAAAUUAUUUUAUUAAUGUUGAUCUUAUUUAUGAUAUGAUUUUGAAUCAUCCCCUAAACAUGUUAGCUUU